GAUGAACGCUGGCAGAAUGCUUAACACAUGCAAGUCGAUGGGGAAGUGGUGCUUGCACCAUGGUAACCAUGGCGGACGGGUGAGUAACGCGUAAGGAACUUACCUGCGGGACCGGGAUAACAGCAGGAAACUGCUGACAAGACCGGAUAAGGUCAUUAAGCUGCAUAGCUUAGUGAUGAAAGGAGACGCCUGCGGAGAGCCUUGCGUCCUAUUAGCUAGUUGGAGGGGUAACGGCCCACCAAGGCGAAGAUAGGUAGCCGGCCUGAGAGGGUGGACGGCCACAAGGGGACUGAGAUACGGCCCUUACUCCUACGGGAGGCAGCAGUGGGGAAUAUUGGACAAUGGGGGCAACCCUGAUCCAGCAAUUCUGUGUGCACGAAGACGGUUUUCGGAGUGUAAAGUGCUUUCAGCAGGGAAGAAGGAAGUGACGGUACCUGCAGAAGAAGCGACGGCUAAAUACGUG
Molecule: ribosomal RNA, 463 nt
Filed under: uncultured bacterium
Lineage: Bacteria
Description: partial 16S ribosomal RNA
Rfam family: Bacterial small subunit ribosomal RNA
Source: RNAcentral